UGGGGAAUUUUGCACAAUGGGGGAAACCCUGAUGCAGCGACGCCGCGUGAUUUAGAAGGCCUUCGGGUUGUAAAAAUCUUUUUUACGGGAUGAAAAUGACAGUACCGUAAGAAUAAGGUCCGGCUAAAUACGUGCCAGCAGCCGCGGUAAUACGUAUGGACCGAGCGUUGUCCGGAAUCAUUGGGCGUAAAGGGUACGUAGGCGGCCUAGUAAGUUAGAAGUGAAAUAAUAUAGCUCAACUAUAUAAAGCUUUUAAAACUGCUAGGCUUGAGAGAUGGAAGGAAAAGUGGAAUUCCUAGUGUAGCGGUGAAAUGCGCAGAUAUUAGGAAGAAUACCGGUGGCGAAGGCGACUUUCUGGUCAUCAUCUGACGCUGAGGUACGAAAGCGUGGGUAGCAAACAGG
Molecule: ribosomal RNA, 402 nt
Filed under: bacterium
Lineage: Bacteria
Description: partial 16S ribosomal RNA
Rfam family: Bacterial small subunit ribosomal RNA
Source: RNAcentral